AAUCCCGGGGGACGCAGGGACGAUCCCGGGGGAAGCAGGGACGAUCCCAGGGGAUGCAGGGACCAUCCCAGGAGAUACAGGGAUGAUCCCAGGGGAAGCAGGAACCAUCCCGGGGGACGCAGGGACGAUCCCGGGGGAAGCAGGGACGAUCCCAGGGGAUGCAGGAAGGAGCCGAGCCGAGGCCCCGCGGCUCAGGGACACCCCGGGACCCGCGGGGAGGGUUCGGCCACCCCCGAGCGUACCUUGGCGAGGGCCGGGAGCCGGGGCACGAAGGCAGCGGGAUCAGCUCCAGUCGGCCAUGUCUCGCUGCUGCCGCCGCCGCCGGAGAGAGGCUGAUGUAGGAACAUCUAUUUUAAGGCAUGACAUGGCCAGAGGCAGCGUUGUUUAUGCCAGGCUGUGCGCGGAGGGGACCGAGGGACACGCGCGGGCACCGCGGAGCAGCGACAGCGACAACAACAACGUCCCCAAAUCCUCGGGCAGCCCCGCUGUCCUUCCUCCUCCCCCGCCCGCAGGGAGAGGAGGAGAAGCUGCCGAGGUGGUGCUGAGGACAUGGUUGCCCUCCCCGGGGAUCUGCAGCUGUCUCCAAGCCAUGAUUUUUUGUUUAUUUCUUUUUUUUAUUUCCAGCUGUUCUCGUCCCCCGUUUGUACAUCCAGGGCUCGGGAACAGCAGAGCCCGGCCCUGGCACCUGGGAUCCUUCCUGAGCCUGUUCUGGCACCUGCAGCCAUGUGAGAUCCAUCCCAAAUAUCCAUCCUGGUGUGGGAUCCAUCCCAAAUAUCAUCCCAGUGUGGGAUCCAUCCCAAAUAGUGUGGGAUCCAUCCCAAAUAUCCAUCCUGGUUUGGGAUCCAUCCCAAAUAUCCAUCCUGGUUUGGGAUCCAUCCCAAAUAUCAUCCCAGUGUGGGAUCCAUCCCAAAUAGUGUGGGAUCCAUCCCAAAUAUCAUCCCAGUGUGGGAUCCAUCCCAAAUGUCCUCCCAGUGUGGGAUCCAUCCCAAAUAUCCCAGUGUGGGAUCCAUCCCAAAUGUCCAUCCUGGUGUGGGAUCCAUCCCAAAUAUCAUCCCAGUGUGGGAUCCAUCCCAAAUAUCCCAGUGUGGGAUCCAUCCCAAAUGUCCUGCUGGCCCCUCACACGGGGCUCAGGCCCUGCUGCUGCUCCAUGGAUUGUCAUUCCCACCCUGUUCCACCUCAUUUCACUAUAAAAGUGCCAAGUUGGGAAUAUCCAGCUCUUGGAGGCACAAUUUAAUUCCUGCCCUACCAAGUUCGCUCUCCAAACCACUCCUCUCCCGCUGCCCUCAUUCCAGGAAUUCCCACCCUGAGCUUGCUCUUGUCCUCGAUCCCAGCCCAGUUUCACCCUUAGCACUGGAAAUUGUUCAUUUGGAGCCUGGAGGGGCCCCAGAACUGCGGGGGGAGGGAAAUGGGGGGGCUCUGCUUGAUGGGGGUGAGGGUGGGCAGAGGGAAACCUCAUUCCCUGGAGAGGAGCAGCUCCCAGGAAGUGCUGGAUCCCCUGGGAGUGGGGAGAGGGAAAAGGGAAAAGGGAGAGGGGAGAGGGAGAAAAGAGAGAGUGGGAAAAGGAGAGGGAAAAAGGAGAGGGAAAAGGGAGAGGGGAAAGGGAGAGGGGAAAAAGGGAGAGAGGAGAAACGGAGAGGGGAAAGGGAGAGGGGAAAAGGGAGAGGGGGGAAAAGGGAGGGAUGUCGUCUCUGCCUUUCAUGCUGGAGCUCCACCACACUCCCUCGUGUCAGUAGGAGGGGAGCUGAACCCAGCUUUGGUGUAACCAGAAUGAUUCCUUCACCAGUUCCAGCCAAUUUAUCCUUUUGAUUUCCCCUUUCCCUCCCAGCCUUGUUUCAUUUGAGCUCGGUUGGGUUUUUUUAUUUUUAUUUUCCCCCCUCUUUUAUUCCAUGUUCUGGAAGCUUCUCCCUUCUUUGUCGCUCUGGGGUUUGAAGCCGCGGUGGAAAGCUGUUCUGGAUCCAGGGCCCGUUUGGGAUUGCUCAGACACACACACCCUCACAAGGACCCCCUUUGAUUGUUGCCAUGGAAACACAUUUCAAUAUCUCCUUCAAGUAAAUGUAUCUGCGUAAAGUUCUGCGUUUUCCAUCUCAAAGGAGAGGAGGAAUUUCCAUCCAGCUCGAAGGAGAGAGGAGAUUUCCAUCCAUGCCAGAACCAGGGGGUCCAUCCCAAAAUUCCCCAAAUUCCCCAGAUUCCUAAAUCCCUCCACGCCAGGGAACUGUCGAUGCUCCAGAGCUCCGGAGCAGCUGGAACAUCUGGAACAUCUGGAACAUCCCAACUCCCACAACACCUGAAGAGAUCCCAGAAACUCAGGAUGGGCCCCUCUGCUCCCUGCAAAGCUCGGAAUUCCUGCAGGAGGGACGGCUCUGGGAAGAUGUGAGAUGAGAAUGUGAUCACCCCCAGGGCCCCCAAAGGAAAAAAUGGAUUUUUAAUAACUCGAACCAUCUCUUCAGCUCCCAUCAGUCUCCUCCUCGGCUUUAUAGCGCUGGGCAUGAAGAAUAUGAGGAUUUGAAGAAUUAACUGAAUUAAUGAGGGUUGAUUAUUAAUGUUCAGAGCUCAAUAAAAGAGAGGGGGGGGUGGAAAUAAAACUCA
This 2586-nucleotide long non-coding RNA is filed under the name Cyanistes caeruleus (blue tit). Its description in RNAcentral is "lncRNA (ENSCCEG00000007151.1)". The record is from RNAcentral. Lineage: Eukaryota; Metazoa; Chordata; Aves; Passeriformes; Paridae.